RNAcentral lists this unclassified non-coding RNA (345 nucleotides) under soil metagenome. Its description in RNAcentral is "partial contains 5.8S ribosomal RNA, internal transcribed spacer 2, and large subunit ribosomal RNA". The stretch from base 1 to 120 matches the Rfam family "5.8S ribosomal RNA", at positions 35 to 154 of the family's 154-position model. The record is from RNAcentral.
GAUGAAGAACGUAGCGAAAUGCGAUACGUAAUGUGAAUUGCAGAUUUCAGUGAAUCAUCGAAUCUUUGAACGCACAUUGCGCCCGCCAGUAUUCUGGCGGGCAUGCCUGUUCGAGCGUCAUUUCAACCAUCAAGCCCUGGGCUUGUGUUGGGGACCUGCGGCUGCCGCAGGCCCUGAAAUGCAGUGGCGGGCUCGCAAGACACACCGAGCGUAGUAGCUUACAACCUCGCUUUGGGAGUGCUGCGGGUGCUGGCCGUAAAGCGACCUUUUGCGUCUUUAGCACUAGGUUGACCUCGGAUCAGGUAGGAGGACCCGCUGAACUUAAGCAUAUCAAUAAGCGGAGGA